AUGCUCCUCCUUUUACUGUGGUGUUCUCCGAGCCUUGCGCCUCCCUUCUUCCCACAACGAGUUGCAAGUCUCUUGCUCUUGACUCUACAAAGAAAGCAUCAAAUGAUUCGUCAGUUGGUAAAUCUGCUGUUGUACUUCCCUAUUGGUCUCGAUGGUUGCUGGUUUUCGUUUGUCGUGUGUAUCGAAGAUAGAGCUUUUAUGUUUCUUGACUCAGCGUUUGGAGAGAACUCAACGUAUCAUAGAGAUAUCUAUGAUGAGCUGGUGAUUUUUCUUUUUGAAAACAGAUUCAUAAUAUCACUCCUAUGA
This 306-nucleotide ribosomal RNA is filed under the name Triticum aestivum (bread wheat). Its description in RNAcentral is "partial small subunit ribosomal RNA". Lineage: Eukaryota; Viridiplantae; Streptophyta; Magnoliopsida; Poales; Poaceae. The record is from RNAcentral.